CCGAGUUAUCAACUCCCAAACCCCUGUGAACAUACCCAACGUUGCUUCGGCGGGACCGCCCCGGCGCCCUCGGCGUCCCGGAACCAGGCGCCCGCCGGAGGACCCAAACUCUUGUUUAAACCAUAGUGGCAUAUUCUGAGUCUCACAAGAAAAAUGAAUCA
RNAcentral lists this unclassified non-coding RNA (161 nucleotides) under uncultured Tolypocladium. RNAcentral describes it as "sequence contains ITS1". Lineage: Eukaryota; Fungi; Ascomycota; Sordariomycetes; Hypocreales; Clavicipitaceae. The record is from RNAcentral.